RNAcentral lists this ribosomal RNA (459 nucleotides) under Ixodes scapularis (black-legged tick). Its description in RNAcentral is "eukaryotic large subunit ribosomal RNA". It matches the Rfam family "Eukaryotic large subunit ribosomal RNA", at positions 1911 to 2289 of the family's 3401-position model. Lineage: Eukaryota; Metazoa; Arthropoda; Arachnida; Ixodida; Ixodidae. The record is from RNAcentral.
AAGUCGGCAAAACGAUCCGCAACCUUGGGAUAAGGAUUGGCUCUGAGGACUGAGUCGGUCGGGCUGGGGACCUGAAGCAGGAACGGCACUGUACGGAGACUGGGCGGGGCUCGCCGUUCACGCGGCGCGGCCAAGCCCGAACCAGCGUCGGGAUUUUUCUGUGGAAAGCCUCAGCUGCGCGGCGUCUGAGGGCUUCGUGCCCAAAGUGCUAUGCUUCGGCCGGCAAAAAACAGUCAACUCAGAACUGGCACGGACCGGGGGAAUCCGACUGUCUAAUUAAAACAAAGCAUUGCGAUGGCCGCUGGUCGGUGUUGGCGCAAUGUGAUUUCUGCCCAGUGCUCUGAAUGUCAACAUGAAGAGAUUCAUCAAAGCGCGGGUAAACGGCGAGAGUAACUAUGACUCUCUUGUCAUAGUUACUCCCGCCAUCAAAGGUGCCAUCAAAGGACAGGAAGGUGAAGG